This 73-nucleotide ribosomal RNA is filed under the name Retrovarium sablae. RNAcentral's name for it is "partial 28S ribosomal RNA". It matches the Rfam family "Eukaryotic large subunit ribosomal RNA", at positions 1 to 71 of the family's 3401-position model. Lineage: Eukaryota; Metazoa; Platyhelminthes; Trematoda; Opisthorchiida; Cryptogonimidae. The record is from RNAcentral.
CCUGACCUCGGAUCAGACGUGAAUACCCGCUGAACUUAAGCAUAUCACUAAGCGGAGGAAAAGAAACUAACCA